AUGGGCGACUCCCCCGACUCCAGGUCAGGACCUGGAAUGGCACCUGGACCAGCACUUGGACCUGCACCUGGACCAGCACCUGGACCUGCACCUGGACCUGCACCUGAACCUGCACCUGGACCUGCACCUGGACCUGCACCUGGACCAGCUCCUGGACCUGCACCUGGACCUGGACCUGGAACUGCACCUGGACCUGCACCUGGACCUGCACCUGGACCAGCUCCUGGACCAGCUCCUGGACCUGCACCUGGACCUGGACCUGCACCUGGACCAGAAGAAGAAGGUUUAUUGCCAUUGUUCCUGGACCUGCACCUGGACCUGCACCUGGAACUGCACCUGGAGCUGCACCUGGAGCUGCACCUGGACCAGCUCCUGGACCUGCACCUGGACCAGCACCUGGACCUGCACCUGGACCAGCACCUGGAUCAGCACCUGGAUCAGCACCUGGACCUGGACCUGGAACUGCACCUGGACCAGCACCUGGACCUGCACCUGGACCAGCACCUGGAUCAGCACCUGGACCUGCACCUGGACCAGCACCUGGAUCAGCACCUGGACCUGCACCUGGACCAGCACCUGGAUCAGCACCUGGAUCAGCACCUGGACCAGCACCUGGACCUGCACCUGGACCAGCACCUGGAUCAGCACCUGGACCUGCACCUGGACCAGCACCUGGAUCAGCACCUGGACCUGCACCUGGACCAGCACCUGGACCUGCACCUGGAUCAGCACCUGGACCUGCACCUGGACCUGCACCUGGACCUGGACUGUUCGAUUUGUUUUACUUCCUGCUGUGUUCUGAACAACAUCCUUCUGCUGCCUGUGUGUGUGUGUUUCUGUGUGUGUGUGUGUGUGUGUGUGUGUGUGAUCAACCACUCGGCUGGUGUGACUCGCUGUCGUGGUAACGGGCUGCCUCCACCUGAGAGCCUAACAAAGGGAGCGUGCACCCUGGAGAGUGCACGUGUUUCUCGUGCGCUUCGCCACAUCUGCAGCAGCGCUGGUCGUCCUGUCUCGUGUCACCUGGACCAGGAGGACAUCAUGGCAGAGACAUGUGAGGGACACCAGCGUCACGUCGGCCACAAACAUCCAGACUGUGACUUCAGGAGAAGCAGGUUCUCUGUUGCUAGGCAACCACAGAUGAUGCCUUCCACCACGAGCGUGUCGCCUAAUGAGGAGCAGCUGCAGGCCGGCCGGUGA
RNAcentral lists this long non-coding RNA (1197 nucleotides) under Takifugu rubripes (torafugu). RNAcentral's name for it is "lncRNA (ENSTRUG00000032690.1)". Lineage: Eukaryota; Metazoa; Chordata; Actinopteri; Tetraodontiformes; Tetraodontidae. The record is from RNAcentral.